CAUCGAUUCCCGUACGAUCACGGAAGAUAAGCAACGUCGAGCCUGGUCAGUACCUAGAUGGGUGACCGCUUGGAAAUACAAGCUGCAG
Molecule: non-coding RNA, 88 nt
Organism: Acanthosepion pharaonis
Lineage: Eukaryota; Metazoa; Mollusca; Cephalopoda; Sepiida; Sepiidae
Source: the annotation of a GenBank genome assembly